GGAAGGUGCGAGCGUUAAUCGGGAAUCACUGGGCGUAAAGCGCGCGUAGGCGGUUAGGAAGUCAGAUGUGAAAGCCCCGGGGGCUUAACCUGGGGAACUGCGUUUGAUACUGCCUAACUAGAGUGUGAUAGAGGGAAGUGGAAUUCCACAUGUAGCGGUGAAAUGCGUAGAGAUGUGGAGGAACACCAAUGGCGAAGGCAACUUCCUGGAUCAACACUGACGCUCAGGUGCGAAAGCGUGGGGAGCAAACAGGAUUAGAUACCCUGGUAGUCCACGCUGUAAACGAUGUCUACUAGCCGUUGGGAGGGUUUGCCUCUUAGUGGCGCAGCUAACGCGAUAAGUAGACCGCCUGGGGAGUACGGCCGCAAGGUUA
Molecule: ribosomal RNA, 373 nt
Filed under: uncultured organism
Description: partial 16S ribosomal RNA
Rfam family: Bacterial small subunit ribosomal RNA
Source: RNAcentral